RNAcentral lists this ribosomal RNA (253 nucleotides) under uncultured prokaryote. Its description in RNAcentral is "partial 16S ribosomal RNA". It matches the Rfam family "Bacterial small subunit ribosomal RNA", at positions 524 to 776 of the family's 1533-position model. The record is from RNAcentral.
UACAGAGGUGUCAAACGUUGUCCGGAAUUACUGGGCGUAAAGGGCGCGUAGGCGGCCUUAUAAGUCAUUUGUGAAAGCUCUGGGCUCAACCCAGGAAUUGCAAGUGAUACUGUAAGGCUUGAGUUCGGUAGAGGAGGGCGGAAUUCCAGGUGUAGCGGUGAAAUGUGUAGAGAUCGGGAGGAACACCGGUGGCGAAGGCGGGUCUCUGGGCAUCUCCUGACGCUGAGGCGCGAAAGCGUGGGGAGCAAACGGG